AGCGAACGCUGGCGGUAGGCCUAACACAUGCAAGUCGAACGGCAGCACAGGAGAGCUUGCUCUCUGGGUGGCGAGUGGCGGACGGGUGAGGAAUACAUCGGAAUCUACUUUUUCGUGGGGGAUAACGUAGGGAAACUUACGCUAAUACCGCAUACGGCCUACGGGUGAAAGCAGGGGACCUUCGGGCCUUGCGCGAUUGAAUGAGCCGAUGUCGGAUUAGCUAGUUGGCGGGGUAAAGGCCCACCAAGGCGACGAUCCGUAGCUGGUCUGAGAGGAUGAUCAGCCACACUGGAACUGAGACACGGUCCAGACUCCUACGGGAGGCAGCAGUGGGGAAUAUUGGACAAUGGGCGCAAGCCUGAUCCAGCCAUACCGCGUGGGUGAAGAAGGCCUUCGGGUUGUAAAGCCCUUUUGUUGGGAAAGAAAUCCAGCUGGCUAAUACCCGGUUGGGAUGACGGUACCCAAAGAAUAAGCACCGGCUAACUUCGUGCCAGCCGCCGCAGUAA
RNAcentral lists this ribosomal RNA (506 nucleotides) under uncultured bacterium. RNAcentral describes it as "partial 16S ribosomal RNA". It matches the Rfam family "Bacterial small subunit ribosomal RNA", at positions 29 to 523 of the family's 1533-position model. The record is from RNAcentral.